GGAGCAUUAGCUCAGAGGAAGAGCGCUUGGUUGCGAACCAAGAGGUCGGAGGUUCGAGUCCUCCAUGUUCCA
This 72-nucleotide transfer RNA is filed under the name Deltaproteobacteria bacterium. RNAcentral describes it as "tRNA-Arg". It matches the Rfam family "tRNA". Rfam says of the family: Transfer RNA (tRNA) molecules are approximately 80 nucleotides in length. Their secondary structure includes four short double-helical elements and three loops (D, anti-codon, and T loops). Further hydrogen bonds mediate the characteristic L-shaped molecular structure. tRNAs have two regions of fundamental functional importance: the anti-codon, which is responsible for specific mRNA codon recognition, and the 3' end, to which the tRNAs corresponding amino acid is attached (by aminoacyl-tRNA synthetases). tRNAs cope with the degeneracy of the genetic code in two manners: having more than one tRNA (with a specific anti-codon) for a particular amino acid; and 'wobble' base-pairing, i.e. permitting non-standard base-pairing at the 3rd anti-codon position. Lineage: Bacteria; Pseudomonadati; Myxococcota; Myxococcia. The record is from RNAcentral.